RNAcentral lists this long non-coding RNA (1570 nucleotides) under Coffea arabica (coffee). Its description in RNAcentral is "long non-coding RNA (CARA_LNC003002)". The record is from RNAcentral. Lineage: Eukaryota; Viridiplantae; Streptophyta; Magnoliopsida; Gentianales; Rubiaceae.
AGGUAUGUCUUAUUAUACAAUGAUUUUUUCUGCUGUUGUUCAUCUGUACAUCCUACAGAUUCUUAUGACAGAGAACUGCAAAAGCUCUCUCUCUCUCUCUCUCAGAUAGAUUCAUGCUGAUAGCCAAGUUACCUGGAUAUAGUGUAGGUUACGAGAGUACUGAUUAAUAGGAGGAAAAACAAUUGGCUUUGUUUGGAUUGGGCUUUAUUUCUCAAAAUUUAUUUGCUUACAUCAUCAUUACAAUUUCCAAUACACCUUUUUACCUUUCCAAUUACCUUUUUAUCUCACAUACAUCACAUCACAAAAAGUGCUACAGUAAAAAUAUCUCUAAUAAUUCACAAUCCAAAUGCCAUUGUAGUCAUUAAUUACUAUUAAGUAAAUAUCCCCUUAUUCAUGCUUGAAGGGUUGCAAUAACCACAAAGUUCAUAAAAUGUUUUUAAGUAGUUUCUGUACUUAAAUUAUGUUAUUUGGUGUCUGUGGUUAUCCCAAAACAAAUGAGGUUUGAAUUAGGUAGUUUUAAAAGUAAAUGAUGGCACUAGAAGACUUAAAGCCUGUUUGGAUUGUGAGUUUUCGUGAAAGUUUUUGUGAAAUAUUCUGAUGACACAUUUCCCAAUCACCUUUUUGUUUCACGUACAUCACAUCACUACAAUAUUUUUCUCCAAAAGCAAUUCAAAUGGGCUCAAACCUUCUGAUUAAAUGGUAAUUUUUUGUGUAUUAUACGAAUCAAAAAAUGGCUUCAUGUCAGUAUUUUUCCAUCACAUGUAUAUAACCUGUAUUGCUGUCCCCCCCCAACCCCCCGCGCGCGCAGGGGAGGGAGGAGGCUUUGUCCUGAUAUUUCUGUCAUAGUUACAGAAUAUGCGUGUGUGUGUGUGAGAGAGAGAGUGUGUGCGUGUGUGCGUAUUAUACGAAUCAAAAAAUGGCUUCAUGUCAGUAUUUUUCCAUCACAUGUAUAUAACCUGUAUUGCUGUCCCCUCCCCCACCCCCCGCGCGCGCGGGGGAGGGAGGAGGCUUUGUCCUGAUAUUUCUGUCAUAGUUACAGAAUAUGCGUGUGUGUGUGUGAGAGAGAGAGAGAGUGUGUGUGUGUGUGAAUAUUUGUUUAAGUGGAUGAAGAAGCUGAAAAGCUUGCCAAAAUUUGGAAGAAGAUUGUGAAGUAAAUUCAACUCUAGGUUCUGAACUUAUAACUCAAAAGCCAAAUGUCAAGAUGCUAUAUUUCAGUGCUUAGCAGAUAUUUUGAUUGGGUGUUUGGUAUCUUAAAGGUUAAAUUUCUGGAGGCAAAGGAUUACUUAGUGGAAAAGUGUUUUCUUCCCUAAAAUAGGUGUUCACAAUUAGGGCUGUGUUUACAGGAUCACUGUCAUAUUCAAUCAUCUGGAUUUGCCAUAACCUUUCAAAGUUCUAGUUGAAAAAAUCUGUACCUCAUUCUAAGUUAAAGUCUGCCUUCAAAAUCCGUGAUCUAUUCUGAAUUAAAAGAUUAUAAAUUCCUCUUUUCUUUUGUUUUUCUUUUAACUUAAUUUCCUUGAACUAAAUAAAUGAUUUCUGUUUUACUUGUCUAAUGAAUCUCGUCCUUCACUCA